RNAcentral lists this ribosomal RNA (253 nucleotides) under uncultured bacterium. RNAcentral describes it as "partial 16S ribosomal RNA". It matches the Rfam family "Bacterial small subunit ribosomal RNA", at positions 524 to 776 of the family's 1533-position model. The record is from RNAcentral.
UACGGGGGGGGCAAGCGUUGUUCGGAAUUACUGGGCGUAAAGGGCGCGUAGGCGGUUUGCUAAGUUGGAUGUGAAAACUCUGGGCUUAACCCAGAGCCUGCAUCCAAAACUGGCAAACUUGAGUACUGGAGGGGAAAGCGGAAUUCCUGGUGUAGCGGUGAAAUGCGUAGAUAUCUGGAGGAACACCGGUGGCGAAGGCGGCGUUCUGGACUGCUACUGACACUGAGGAACGAAAGCCAGGGGAGCGAACGGG